UCCGUCCGUUGCUCGCUCACCCCUUGACACGACACUCUUAGCGGCGGCAUCGGCCGCGGAUGGAGUCGUCGAGCGUCCUCGAGGAGGAGCUCUCCCGCCGGUACAAACUCUCCCCCCUCAAGGAGUCAUCGCCAGAACGACGACAUGAUUUCCUCCUUUCUACCGCCUCCGCCACGCGGCGGUCCCCAGGCUCGAGAUCUUCGCCUCCUUAAUUCAGCGUCGGGCACGACAAGGUCAACCUUGCCAAGUCCCGGAAGCGGCAAAUCCGGGUCACCGUCAUCACCGGCGUCCUCACCGCGGACCUGGGUAACCUUGCCAUCGGUCUCUCCAUUGCCGUCCUGCACCUCCACGAGGCCGACCACUACAUCCGGAUGGGAUUUCAAACUCGCCACCAGGGUCAGAUGCUGCUGCUGCUGCUCCUAUUUCAUUCGUUCCAUAAUAAUUAGAUUUGGAAGGUGCCUUUUUUCCUCGCGGGUUUCGUGAAUUUUCAGAAAUGGUUUGCUUUUGUUAUACCUUGCCAUCGCAUAGGAUAUUAAUGCAAAGACUUAUUGGUUUAAUUAGGUGAUGCUUCAUAACAAUUUUCAAAAGUUAAUUGAUAUUUGAUUAUUUUUUUAAAAUCAUAUUUAAUUAGUAUUUACAGGAUAUUAAUAUAUUUUUUUAAUUUUCGAAAUUACCUUAUAACUUUAUCUAAAAUUAUAAGAUUAUCAAAAUGAUUUAUAUAUUCUAUAAGGUGAAAUUUUAUUUAUUUAUUUAUUUUUAAAGAUUAUUUUAUAUUUAUUUACUUAUUUGCAUCAUACAAAAUUUUUUAUAAGAUUACAUACAUACAUACAUUCAUUUAAUUAAUUAAUUAAAAUAAAAAUAUGUAUUUAUUUUUGAAUAAAUAUUAAAAAUAUUAGAAGGGUAAAUUUAUCAAAAAUAUUCAAUGGAUGUUUGAAAUACAAUCUUACCAAACAAAACUUACAUCAAUGCACAUUUAAAAUAUAAUUUUUAUCUAUUGUUUACCAAGCACUCAAGGCAUUCCAUAAUUGUAAAUUCACUUGAAUUCCUUUCUUCAACUACAUAUUAAAAUAACAAAUGUGUUCCCAAACGUAAUCUAAUUUUGUUUUGCUCCUCUUCUUGUUCUUUCGGUUCAUGACAUGUUUGAUUGAAUGGAAUUACAUGCUUGCUUUCUGAGAUUUCUUGUAAAACAAUAGUUAGAACAUGAGAUGACAUAAGACUAGUUAUAUAUGUGUUCUUGUUCCUAGUUGUAAAUGGCUGCUACACAGACCAUCAGUGACAAUAUGCAUGACGAUGUCUUGAUCUCCUACGAGGUCCUAUGACACCUAAUUAUAUGUGCACAUGAUGCGAUCAUCUUACCUAUGCAUGUUUUUUAUUUUUUACAAAAGAUAUUCAUGAAGACAGAAUUAGAUUUCAGGACCAUGCUAUCAACUAUCAAAGCUUUUACCAAUUAAGCUGCCUAACAUCCUCGUAUGUCUAUCAUUUUCUGGAAGGAAAAAAAGUUUUGUUAUGUGACACUAUCCCUUGUCUUUGAUGAGAGUGCAUGCAUCUCUUUCCCCUUGCCGGAGCUCAAGGUUCGAUCCCCAUCAUGCAUAAGUCAUGGAUUGUCCCUAUCAUGAUGGUGGAUAACUAGGAUGACCUUGUGGACCUCAUGGUCAAUUUUGUAGGAUCCUGUGCCGUUGCUAUCUGAAUAAAGUUUACCUAAAUCUAUGGCUGAAACAAAGCUGUUUUAUAAGUAUAAAAUUUCUUGGAAAUUGCAGUUCUUGUGCAUAUUUUAUACUGUGUUUUAGAGAUGGAAGAAUUUAUCAGCAUUAAAUCAGAUUAGAUGAUGUGUUUACCAUCAUGCAACCUGUGGAUAUGUCUGAACCACAUCCAAGGGUCAUCUAAAACCAUAACAUAUAAGCCAACACUCCAUAUUCUCAUAUGAUCUUUGGUUCUCUUGCGAUUUAUUUUUCUUCUUCCUCUGCGCUUCUUCAGGUUGUCUGUGGACUGAGAAGUGAGAACAUUGGAAUCAGGUUCAAAUGAUCAAGUUGUUAAAGCAUUUUAGUUUUGUUUUUUUUGUGCCUAACUAAAUUCAUUGAUAGUUUAUUCACACCACUUAGUGAUACUAACAUAUGGACAUUCACAUCUGGGCAUUUCCUAAUUUUAGAGUAAACAUGCUGAAAAAAGUGCUAUUGAUUAAAGGGCUAAUAGUCAAACUCUUCAAUCAAGUUCAAGCGCUUUGAAUCAAAUUGGGUUUCAUCCAUUCUGGUUAUUUUAAGUUUGGUUGUGUAUUGAUAUAUGAAGUAUUUACCUUGAAUCUAUCAGAUGUAGUUUUAAGUUUCUGAUAUCUAAUGCAGAGUCAUAACUGUGUGUCUCAUGUUCUACACAGAGAUGACUAAAUGUUUUGGUCAGUCUAUGGUUGUUUCAUGGCAUGAACAGUUCUUUUAAUAUGACAUACAUAUUACCUAUAUGUCUCCGCAAUCUGUGCAAGUAUAUAUGUAUACACAACUUUCUGAACCUUCAAGUACCUGGAUCUGUUUAGACGUUAGUCGAUCCUUUUGAGUGGAGCUGCAGCAGCUGAGUCUGUGCUAGGGUUGAGAUCAUGUUAUCCAAACAUGAAACAAUUAUUACAAACCCCCCAUUUGCUUUUAGGCAUUUAUGACCAUGCAUGUUUAUGGUGUAUAUCCACUAAAAGAACACAUAUCGUAAGAGUUGUGUUUUCUACUUGGGACUUUUCAUACAUCCUUUUCAUCUCAUUGACAUGGUGAAUGUUGUUAUUUUUUAUUGUCAAUCUAUUUAAAUUGGUCAAUUUUUAUUAAGAAAAGUGUUGCAAUAAUUAAGGGGUAUGAAACAUUAUAUAACAUGAGGAGUUAUCAAUUUGAACAUUAUUGUUCUAAAAAUAAGUAUCCUCAUCAAAUUUCUUUCAUUGGAUUAAAAAUUACAAGCUUAUAUAACACGCUAUUUCAUCCAAAUUUUAACUUGUACAUGAAAUUAAAAACUCUAUGAGGUCCUUGUUGAAGGAUUCAUCUCAAAAAGGAUUUUGCUUCUUGGAGGACUCAUACCUAAGAACUAUCAUUAUAGCCCUAACUUCAGGAAUCCAAUUUGUAGAAAUAUCUUUGACUCAUGAGAUGGUGAUAUGGAUGAAGUUUUUCAAAGAUGGUCUUAACUCUUAAAAUCCAAGUAAUUCUAUCUGAUUCCAAGUGGGGAUCAUCAUAACAUAAAAUGGAAAUCAAGAUUGUUAAGUUACUCAGAAUAAUUCAAGUUAAAUGAAACUUACUCCAUGUGGUUGUCGAUGACUCCAACUUGUCAAUGACACAGUGCAUAGUCAAAAAGUUUGUGAAAAUUUGAUAAAUUAUAAAACCAUUAUUUAAACUAAACAAAAAAAUCAUAAGAAAGUUCAAAAAUUAAUAUAAUACUGUUAAGUGUCUGAUCCUACUAGCCAGAAUAAUAUAUUCAUUUGUUAAGUAUCUGAUCUUUGUUAAAAACCACAAAACUAAGAUUCUGUGUUUCUUCCUUCUUAAAAUAAUUGUGCCUUGUAUCACUGACUUGGUUUGGCACUACAGGUUGUCACACUAACAAACAAUUUUUCUUUUAAGUCUGUGUCAGAUGUUGCCAAAACAUUCAUCAAAUCUAUAAAUAGAUACCCAUGUAGACCUUGGCCUUUCUCUUCUCGAAUAUACACUCCAUCCUGUUUGGUCCGUGGAUAAGAUCUUUGUUUCUUCCAAACAGCACCAAGGAGUUCCUCCAUUUUUGUGCCUAUUUAGAUUCUACUCUUUGCUCCCCAUAAUGUGGUUAUUCCUAACAUGGUCCUCUCUUUCCCUCCUCAUUUUUUCUUAUCUGUCAUAUUCUUUUGUUUACCAGUUUUUCCUUGCUCAGUAUUUUGAACAUCGUGGGACAAAUGAUCUAUAUACCAUUUUCAUAUAGAAAGCACAUAUUAUUCUCCAUCCCCUCUAUGCAAAUUGUUAAUUGCAUUGUUUGUCCUCUACCAUUCUAUUUUCGCUGAUACUGGUUAGUUGAAUUAGGAUAUGUGAAAAGAAAAAGUAAACUAUAUGUGAAAAGUAGAUAUGCCUGGGAAUGAAGCCUAGUUCAAAGUUUUAAAAAUCAUAACUUUGAGUUCCUCUUCUCGUUCCAAAGUUUUAAAAUUGACCUCAUCUUUGAUAUAUGUAACCUGAAAUUGGGAAGAAAAAAGGUAUUAGAAGUUUCUGCUUGUAUAAUGAGUUAUCAUUUUUCUUAAACAUUUCAAGAAACUUUUGUCUUUAAUGUAAGAAGUUGACAUCAUACUAUGAUAUCUGUUUGCUGUUGGCAGGGGUAAAAUAGUUUGCUGUAAGAAGUAUUUGGUUGCCUAUAAGCUGCUACUCAAGAACAGAGAAACUGGUACCAAUUACAAGAACUACUCUUAGAAGCAGUUUCUUCUGUUAAGACUUCCAUCCGACUGUACAGAAUUCUCUAAUGAGUCACCCAACAAUGGACUUCCAGUGAAUUAUUGGAUUUCUGUUGUCUCCAUUGAACUAUCUAGGAAAUUCUGCUGCAAGUCCACAACUUAUUGAAAUAAAGAUCACCAGUGAUGCAACUUGUUGCCAAUGUCUCUGAAGUUAUAAACUAAGACAAGCAGAAUCAGAGGGUCAUGACAUUUGAUGUUCAGAUCCAGCACUGAUAUAUCUGCACACAUAGGCUUUUCUCAAAAGGUGGUUGGGUUGGCUAAGCAGCAGCUCCUUUGAAGAUGAGAAAGUUGAGUCUCUCCAGGCAGAAGUAGAUGAAGGUGCCCUUUGUGUGGGUGAAGAAGCACCCAAAGUUGGAACCCACCACACAUUGCCAUCCAGGCCCAUACCUCAGAUCAAAUUCCUGGAACAUCAACACGCACAAGAAAAGAAGGGGAUGACAGAAGGUCCAACCAUGGAGGAAUUGGAAAAUUGAUGUGGAAAGGAGAGAGGGGAAAUUACCUUCUUGAUGUGGGUAGCUAUGCUCUUGCAGUCAAGGACAUCAAAGAGGUCGAGAGCUUCACUAGCACAGGACAUGGCUUGCAGCUGCAUCUUCACUGGCAUGUCUGUGUCCUGGAUCAUUGCCUUCCCCUCCAGCAUUCUGCCUUCUCUCCCCAAAUCCAGUGCUGAUCCAAUUGAGAAAUCUGCUCCUAUUUCACUGGAUUAAUACCUGCAUGCUGUGGAAGACUGAAGGAUUUAGAAGGAUAACGCAAAGCUCCUCUUUGGUUGCCAGUGGCGUGCAUGGCGAUCACCUCCUUCCUGCUGAUGGUGACUUGUAUUGUCAUGGCAUAUAGAUUGAUGAACAAACACUUUUGAGGGUACACAAUGACAUGGUUGGUAUUGUCUUAUAUGCAGAUGUGUUAAUUCAUCUGAAACAGUAUACUAAUUAAUAUGAUUGGUAUAUAGAUUUGAUCAAAGAAAAAAAAAAGAAAAAGAGAAUUGGUUUUGACCA
Molecule: long non-coding RNA, 5409 nt
Organism: Musa acuminata AAA Group (dessert banana)
Lineage: Eukaryota; Viridiplantae; Streptophyta; Magnoliopsida; Zingiberales; Musaceae
Exons: 4
Source: RefSeq, a predicted model, not a curated record